AUACGUAUGGUGCAAGCGUUAUCCGGAUUUACUGGGCGUAAAGGGCGUGUAGGCGGUCUUGCAAGUCAGAAGUGAAAUUCCUGAGCUCAACUCGGGCGCUGCUUCUGAAACUGCAGGACUUGAGUGCUGGAGGGGAUAGCGGAAUUCCUAGUGGAGCGGUAAAAUGCGCAGAUAUUAGGAGGAACACCGGUGGCGAAGGCGGCUAUCUGGACAGUAACUGACGCUGAGGCGCGAAAGCACGGGGAGCAAACAGGAUUAGAUACCCUGGUAGUCCGUGCCGUAAACGAUGAAUACUAGGUGUAGGGGGUAUCGACUCCCUCUGUGCCGCAGUUAACACAUUAAGUAUUCCACCUGGGGAGUACGGCCGCAAGGUUGAAACUUAAAGGAAUUGACGGGG
This 397-nucleotide ribosomal RNA is filed under the name uncultured bacterium. Its description in RNAcentral is "partial 16S ribosomal RNA". It matches the Rfam family "Bacterial small subunit ribosomal RNA", at positions 523 to 918 of the family's 1533-position model. The record is from RNAcentral.